Long non-coding RNA from Andrographis paniculata, 3497 nucleotides. RefSeq lists it as uncharacterized. The transcript has 5 exons. Lineage: Eukaryota; Viridiplantae; Streptophyta; Magnoliopsida; Lamiales; Acanthaceae. The record is from RefSeq and is a predicted model, not a curated record.
UCCGUAAGCAGAGCCCUAGUUUAAUCUCCUCCCCAACAUCAAUCUCCCCCACCUCCGUUUUGAUUCCACCAUUGGCCCACCUUUCUUUCCACCACCGACGUUGAACCACACAGUACGACACACAAAUACUCCACCUCGUGGGGUGGAAUCGCUGCGAAAAACUCCAUUAUUUCAGGACUAGGGUAGGGCGAUGACUAGGGUUUUUUUCACCUCGUACGACACACAAAUACUCCACAAAAUUAGGUGUUGGACCACCACCCCCAGUAAAGCGACAAUAACUCUAUUCUUAACAGCCCAAAAUACGCUGGGGGCAAGAAAACAUCUUCUGACCCGAUCGAGGUAAAUUUUCUUAACAUAACGUGCCUACUUAGAUAUGCUUUUAACUGUGGGGUAUCGAGCACCAAUAAGUUGGAUUUCUACGUAUAUAGAGAUGAGGGGUUUAGAUUUGUAGUAGAUGAUGAAUCCCUUAGUCAAAUAGCAUCGGAAAACAUAGGUGGGAAACUUGGUGAAUUAGAUGUGUUUGUGGAUAUAGGAGAAGUGAUAGAAGCAGAUGGUGAGUCCGAGUAUGAUGUAGAGUAUUAUACUGAAUCAGAACUGGAUGAGUGCGAUGAUGAUUUGUUCGAUGAAUAUGUGGAUGGGAUUUAUGAGGAGCUAUCUGGUGGGGUGACGAAAGGAAUUGAAGUUGAUAGGAGUGUGAGGGCAUACAAGUAGGUGAGGCUUCUGAAUCUGACAGAGAAUUUGUCAUUGGUUCAGAUACUGAUGAGGAGGAUGAUUGUUUGAUGAUAAUGUGGAUGAUAUAUCCGAGGAGAUUAUCGGUGAUUUAGAAGGAGACAGAGAAAAACAUAUGGAUGAAAGGGGAAGAGUGCAUUUGAGGGGAUGCUGAGCAUGAGAUAAAAAAAUAUAUUGGAGAUUGAUAAUGAACUUACAGAAUUGGUGGAAUCAGACGACGGUGGCUUGAAGGAGAAGCCUUUUCCCACAUUCCAGGAAAAUGAUUUGUUUUCACCAGAGUUUGAAAUUGGUAUGGCCUUUUCAAGCGGGAAUGAGUUGAAAUAUGUUGUGAACUCCUACGCUGUUGUCAAUAGGGGGCAAAUAAAGUUCACAAAAGUUGACCCAAAAAGAGUGUACGUUGAUUGUGGUGACAGUAGUUGUAGAUGAAAAAUUUAUGUACGUGUUACGGAUGCUGGAAUUGGAUUUGAGAUCUCAGUAUACCAUGGAGAACAUAAUUGUGAGUAGAAGUUCAACCUGUCCAAUAUGAAAAUGAAGUGGUUGAGCGAUAAGUAUGCAAAUAAGUUGAAAUCCGACCCAAAAAGAACAAUGAAAGGAUUCAAAAUGGAUGCUAUCAACGAAUUACAAGUAAGGGUGUGUUUGUUUGGGGGUUUGGAUUUUGAGUUGGGAUUUGAAUAGUAAAAAUUUUGAAUUUGAAUAGUUGUAUGAUGUGAUAUAAAUAGGUGUUGAUGUGAUGUUUUGAAUGUAAAAUUGAUUUUUAAUAUAAUAUAAAAAAUGAAAAAUAGGUGUUUGAUUUGAUGUUUUUGGGGGGAAAUUUUUGGAUGAAUAGUAGGAUUUUGUGUAAGUCCUACAAACGAACACACCCUAAAUGUGUCAAAGGAUAUGGCCUACAGGGCCAAAAAAAGAGCUUUGAAAGAGUUGGAAGGGGAUGCCACACAUUAGUAUGGUAGACUUUGGGAUUAUGCCCAUGCACUACGACAAUCUAAUCCUGUGACAAUUGUUGUGUUAGGGACCAAGGUGGAUGGGGAUAACUCCACAUUUGACAUAAUGUAUAAAUGCCUUGAUGCACUGAAAAGGGGACUCAAGGAAAGUUGUAGGCCUUUUAUUGGCAUCGAUGGAUGUCAUCUUAAGACUGUUUAUGGGGGAGUCUUGUUGUCUGUUGUUGGUUUCGAUCCAGACAAUUUUAUUUUUCCGAUAGCGUUUGCAUCAGUGGCAAAUGAGACUUGGAAAAUGUGGACUUGGUUUCUGACAUUAUUGAAGAGGGAUUUGGAAAUAACAUCUGAAUGGGAAAGUUGUUUUAUGUCUGAUAAACAUAAAGUAUUUGUGCAAGCAUUGUUGGAUGUUUUCCCUGGGAAGAAGCACCGAUGUUGCGUGCGGCACUUACACAAUAAAUUUUUGACCACUGGCUUUAAAGGGACAGCAUGGAAGAAUGCCUUAUAGAAGGCAGCGCGGGCACCCACUGUUGGUGAAUCUAGACAGAAGAUGGAUGGGGUAAAGGAGUUUGACGAAAAGGCGUGGGAGUAGCUUCGAGCAAAGCCUGCUGAGGAAUGGAGCAAGUCACACUUUAAGCUAUUUUCUAAGUGUGAGCUGCUUAUUAAUAACGUGUGAGAGUUUUAACAGUGUCAUAUCCGAGGCCCAAGACAAGCAUAUUUUAUCUAUGUUUGAAGAGAUUCAAGUGUAUCUUAUGAAGCGAUUGCAAGCUAACAGUGAUCAUGCACACAAAAAAUAGGGGGACUUGGUGAUUUGCCUGAAGGCAAAUCAGGUUGUUCGAAGGAAUAGAGCAAAGGUGGCAGAUCGUAUUCUGAUCAAGUCAAAUGACAAGUAUUAUCAGAUAUCUCGCGCUGAUGGAAGACAACACAGUGUGGACUUGGCCGACAGGACGUGUUCGUGUAGGACGUGGCAAUUGAGUGGGAUCCUAUGUAAUCAUGUUAUCUCGGCAAUCGGAAAUCAAGAGGGGGAUGCGAUAGACUAUCUGAGCAGCGUGUAUGAUGUGGAAACAUAUAACCAAGUCUAUGACUAUUCAAUCAGAGCCGUAAGUAGUGAGGUGUUUUGGGAACACACAACUUACCCUCCUCCAGAGCCACCCACUGUUAGGAGACGCAUUGAGAGGCCAAAGAAACUACAAAAACGUGAUCCAGGGGAGCCUCGAAAAAAUGUUGAAAUAAAAUAGGGAAAAUCGAGGUUGAAAAUAAGACAAACCGCCAUUGAAUGUGGCCAUUGUGAUGUUGUUGGCCAUAAUGCAACCCACUGCCCAUCCUUGAACUCACAACAUAAGGAUACAACUAUGGAUAAGGGAGAAACUAUGGAUGAGGGAGCAACUAGUGAAGAACAUUUGCCCGCAGCUAAAGAACAAUGCGGACGAACUUCGGUCCACGAAAGUGCUCCGUACAAUUAAACUAUCCUAGGGUGAGACUGAGGAACAAAUUGAACCAACACAAAAAGAAUCCACUACCAAUGUUGCGUGCGGAAGGGUUGAUCAAAUUGCACAACCGAAAUGAAAAAGACAACCAAUGCUACCUUUACGGCGCAGUACAAUAAAUGUUAGGGCACGUAAUGCAUCGGGAGGUAUUGAACAAGUUUCCGUUGAACCAGAUCCCCCAGCAACCGUGAUUGAACAAUGUCCAGUUGAAGCAGAUCCCCAAACAACCCUGAUUGAACAAAGUCUUAUUGAAAGUUGUCUCUCAACAACCAUGAUAGAAAGACCUAUUGUACAUCUAAACUAUAUUUUCGACAGCUUAUUCAAUCUUAAUACAUCAUUUGACGUUUUAGUU